Molecule: long non-coding RNA, 246 nt
Filed under: Elaeis guineensis (African oil palm)
Lineage: Eukaryota; Viridiplantae; Streptophyta; Magnoliopsida; Arecales; Arecaceae
Description: long non-coding RNA (EGUI_LNC016409)
Source: RNAcentral
GGGGAGAGUAGCCUUCAAGUUAGCAAAAUCUUUUGCUGAAAGUUUCAUAUCUGCAACCAUUCAACAGACGUCAGAUUAGAAAGAAACAAGCUGAAAAGAAAGCUGAAAAGUAUAAACAACUCCACUCACUCUCAAACUCAUUUGGACAGAGCCCUGUCAAGAAGAGGGACUCAUCGGAUAGGAGUUCUUUCAGAUGAAGAACUUUAUACUCUUGGAGAUCCCUAAGCCCCUUCUUCUCCUCAGCAC